RNAcentral lists this ribosomal RNA (489 nucleotides) under Konosirus punctatus (Konoshiro gizzard shad). RNAcentral's name for it is "partial 16S ribosomal RNA". It matches the Rfam family "Bacterial large subunit ribosomal RNA", at positions 1953 to 2593 of the family's 2925-position model. The record is from RNAcentral. Lineage: Eukaryota; Metazoa; Chordata; Actinopteri; Clupeiformes; Clupeidae.
AAGGUAGCGCAAUCAAUUGUCUUUUAAAUGGAGACCUGUAUGAAUGGCAUAACGAGGGUUUAACUGUCUCUUUUUUUCGGUCAAUGAAACUGAUCUGCCCGUGCAGAAGCGGGCAUACCCACACAAGACGAGAAGACCCUAUGGAGCUUUAGACGCUCACCAACCACUAAAAGAGACCCGAUCUAACGGGCUUUCAAACAAUGUGGCCCUGGUAUAAACGUCUUCGGUUGGGGCGACCGCGGAGGAGAGAAAAGCCUCCGAGAGGAUUGGGGGAAACCCUAAAACCAAGAGCCACAGCUCUAAGUCACAAAAUAUUUGACCGACAACGAUCCGGCUUCUUGCCGAUCAACGGACCAAGUUACCCUAGGGAUAACAGCGCAAUCCCCUCCCAGAGUCCAUAUCGACGAGGGGGUUUACGACCUCGAUGUUGGAUCAGGACAUCCUAAUGGUGCAGCCGCUAUUAAGGGUUCGUUUGUUCAACGAUUAAAG